GCAAACUUGGUCAUUUAGAGGAAGUAAAAGUCGUAACAAGGUCUCCGUUGGUGAACCAGCGGAGGGAUCAUUACCGAGUUAUCACAACUCCAAACCCAUGUGAAUCAUACCUUUUGUUGCCUCGGCGGUUGAUGAGGAGCGGCGCUCGCGCCCUCCCCUUUCGCCGCCGGUGGACACCCAAACUCUUUUGCAUUUUAUGUCAAUCUGAGUAGACUAUAUAAAUAAGUCAAAACUUUCAACAACGGAUCUCUUGGUUCUGGCAUCGAUGAAGAACGCAGC
Molecule: unclassified non-coding RNA, 279 nt
Filed under: uncultured fungus
Lineage: Eukaryota; Fungi
Description: partial contains small subunit ribosomal RNA, internal transcribed spacer 1, and 5.8S ribosomal RNA
Rfam family: Eukaryotic small subunit ribosomal RNA (bases 1-73)
Source: RNAcentral